This is a long non-coding RNA of Mastomys coucha (southern multimammate mouse), 6808 nucleotides long. RefSeq lists it as uncharacterized. The transcript is spliced from 6 exons. NCBI's taxonomy places the organism in Eukaryota, Metazoa, Chordata, Mammalia, Rodentia, Muridae. The record is from RefSeq and is a predicted model, not a curated record.
CCCACUCCUUGGUGCUCACAGCUGAGGGUCUGCUAGGGAACAGCGGGAAUUUCUCUCCCUGAAUGACGUAGCUCUUGUCCACUUAGUGACCAAAUUUGAGCACAGAAAUGGUCUGCUGUCUCAUCUGAGGACAUGGACCCCAGAAUGCCCGUCUGAGUACCCUGUGUCACCUGUAGUCACUGGCAUAGAGGUGGGGAUAGUGUCUUCCUUUCCCUUUAUCCUUUCUAGUUCAGGGGCAGGGACUUCCUUAAGGGAAGGAGUGAAAACCUUUUGGGGGGUGAGGGGGUUGAUAAUGUCACUUCCUUACCUCUAGCUUUCCUUUCCCUGGCUGGGUUCAUACUCUUUCUGGAUUCCUUUGAGGCUGCCAUUUUGAAGGCAUCUCUGCUUGUCCUUUACAUGGUGGCUGGUGCUGCUGGUUUUGUUGGCUUUGCUGUGCUAAUUCUAAGGAGUAGGUGGGGAUUUUAAAAAGGGGUCUCUAAUAGAGGGAUACAGCUGCUGUAUAGAUAGAUAUAGUUAUGAUUACUGCAGUGAAGGUGGUCUAGAAGCAGAACUGCCUGGUUUCAUGUUGGGUCACAGCACUGGGUGGGGGUCUAAAUGGAAGCCUUCUGAGUCAGGGUUCCAUGGCCCAGGACCCCAUCUUUACUAGAGUAUGGCUAUUUGGCUUCUCUGCCCUAGUCAGCCUGAACCAGAGAUGUUCCAUCAAGUGCCUAGUGUUGGAGGAGAGUGAAGGGAGACAUAGCAGCUCAUCUCAGAUGUGGUAGACCUGUGGUUUCUGUUUUUCAAAUUCUCUCUCUCUCUCUCUCUCUCUCUCUCUCUCUCUCUCUCUCUCUCUCUCUCUCUCUCUCUUUCUCUCUCUCUCUCUCUCUCUCAUUCUCUCUCUCUUUCUCAGCCUCCAUAUUGAGACAUGGGUUGAGGUCCACAGCAGGCAGCAGCAUUUGGUCAGAUGACCCUGCCUUUUCUCCUUCCCCCCUGCCAGGGCCACAGUUCUAAUUGCUGUUCUUUAGUGAGGCUCCCUGCUGCCCAACCCUUUCUAGGCCCUUCUACGGAUAGCGGCCAUCUUGUCUGCCUGCUUAGAGAUUUAAAAUGGUUUCCCAUUGUCAGCUUGAAAUUCCUCCUAUUCGGUAGGGUACUCUGGGCUGACUACUAGUGGCUUUAGCUUUCCCAAGAAGCGUUCCUCGGGUGAAAACCAGACCACCCAUAUUUCCCUGCUUUUCUAUUUUCAGUACUGCUGUUUUCCAUGCCUACGCUCUACCUGUUGCAGGGCCACUGUCUUAAUGGACCUCUCCCUGAGCACCCUGUAAGAAGAAAUCCCUGUAACCACUAUUACGAGUCCCCUUUCUUUCAUGGUAUGUUUUUUUUUGUUUUGUUUUGUUUUUUUUUUUUGUUUUUUUUUUUUUUAUGUGUGUGUAUUCUCUAUCAGAGUUUGUGCUCCAGUAAGAAGCCAGGGGGAGGAAGAUAUCCCUGUUCAGAACCUCUGUUGCUGGAUGCCAUGUUACCUCAUGAAUACUACUAGGGUUGUUUGCUUGUUGGUUUGUUUUUGUUUUAUCAUAACCCUUUAGGGAGAAUCCUGUUGCUGACAAGAACCACCGGCCAUCAAAAAUCUUUUUUCCUCCCUGUUUCCAAGAUGACACUCUCAGAUGUGACUAUUUUAGGAAUAUUGUAAGUCUCUACAGUUGUGUUAGGUCAUUCAGCUGGUCCUUUUCCUUCAUGGCCAGGUUCAGUCAAGAUGAUUUACUUUUUUGUAACUGGGGUGAACAAACCUCAGUUGUUUUGCCUUCUUCCUGGAGGAACAGGCAGAGGUGAGUAGGUAGAAGCACCUGCAGAGGAGGGUAAGCCCAGUCACUGAGAUAGGUACAGACACUGGACUGCUCAUACCAGGUCUGUACCGCAGUCUCAGUUGGCUGAUUUUAGAUAGGUCAUCCUAUUUCUUGCCUACGUGUCCUUAGUCUGUGAAAUAGACCCCUAGCAGCCUGUUCUGUAGGAAUGUCCAUUUUACUUUCUGUUUCUUGUAGAUUUGGCAGAAGCUCUCUUUCCCUGCCUGGAGUAUUGUUGGGGAUGUAAAAUGAGAGAAUAGCAGAUGACUAGCAAAUUAGGGAAGGACUGUAUACUUCUAAGUUGUCACAGCAAGAAAAGAGAGGACUAUCUCAGGAGUUUGAGAGCCUGCAAAGUGGUGGUGUUCCACUAGGGAGAACUCUAUAGAGUACAGCUCCAUCUGUAAGUAGGUGACAAUCUCUUGGCAACUCAGGCUCAACUAAGGAUGAUGUUUGUGCAUCUAAGCCAUCAUACUAGAGCAGUUUGCCUACAUUUUUGUAGAACAACAAAGAGGACCUGCUUGACCACCCUGCUUUCUAUGGAAGGAAAUGUUGGAAUUCAGUAUUCAGCCACCACAUAUCUAUCUUCCUUAGACUCAUACUUUAGAAGCCAGUUUUCUCUAAAAUGGAUCCAGGAGACAUGUCUUUGAUGCUGAUAGAUGAAAAGUCUUGCUGGAUGAGGUUGCUGAGGUGGGAUGAGGGCCAGUAGAAUGCCGUGUAUAGAGAAGGAAAGACUUGGAGCACUCCAUGUGGCCGAAGCUCAAAUCCUAAUGGCCUUGGAUGUCACUCUGCUAGGUAAGAAAGGCCAGAGUGAGUUGGCACAGAGAAGGAGGGGAUACUGCCUCUGGCCAUUGGCUGCUUUCCAAAACAGCUACAGUUUUCUGGCAUCAUGCUCUCCCUACACUGACAGCUAAAGACAAAAUGUCUUGGAUGCUGGGCCUGGUCUGCUGCUGUGUGUGACAAGCCAGGCACCCUCUUCAGUGCACAUAUGCAGGUGGUCUUUUGUGGAGGUAAGAUGUUCCUUUUUCUUUCAAAAAAUACCUUCCCUAGCCUUCUCUCCCAAAGAUGAGUUCUUCUAGCUGGUGGGAAUUCCUCAGUCUUCAUAGGCAGUCAAAGAAAUGGAUGGCAGGCUUCUGACACCCUCCCCCACCCUGGCUGGAAAUCUCAUCAUGCACAUAGCUAUGACUCAGCACUCACUGCUGGGUCAGGAGGGAGAAGCUAUUGCCUGGCUGGAACCUUCCCACAUUCUGCAUGUGAGCACAUCGGAACAGUACAGGCUGGGCCAGCAGGGUGAGGUUCCCAGGGCAAGUAUUUUCUCCUCUAACCCAUAUUCUUCCCACAAUUUAGGGAUUUCUGUUCUGGGCCCUGGGUAUUGAGGAUUCUAAAAACCAUUGCAUCGGCCAUAGACUAAAGUAUAAGUAGCCCUUUUCUUCUUUGCUUUUAACCAGUGGCCCACAAAAGGUGUUUAAACUUUAUUUGUACUGUUUGGCUUUCAUGGGUUGGGUUUUCUAUGUGUUAAUUUUAUAUCUAGACAGAAUAUGACUUUCGCAGAUUACCGUACCUCUCCUGCAUGUUGUUGUUGCCUCUGGCUGUGCAUGUGCGUGUGUUCUAACCAGUUUUCCCUAGCUUCUCUUUACAGAUGAAGACACUGAAGCCAUCCAAGACUAUGGCAGGGCCCUGUUCUCAGCAUAUAGGCAAGCAGGUGUUCUAAUUUACUAAGGAGUGACAUUGCCUCUACCCCUCUGGCCCCUGCCUUACCAAAGGAAUGACCUGUCAUGGGAGGGUAGAAGGGCUUCCAGAGAGAAAUAGGUAUAGGAACAGAUGGAGGCUGGAGAGUGGUGUCUCAGACUUCUUCUCUGUGAGGCAGGGUUUCUUUUCUAGACCAUCAAACCCAGUAACUUAAAGUUUACUUGAAGCCACAUAGUUGAGGAGGGAGAUCCCAUUAUUCUCACUGAGAUCAGAGCCCUAACAGCCCUAAGGUUUUCAUAGGCUGCCCUAUUAGACAUUCAGAUGACUCUGAGGCCUGGUGCCAGAGAGGUACAGUCUUCCAGAUUUUAUCAAAUCAUCCAGCUCUUCCAAACAAGUGAAGAAUCACCACCUAGUUUCAGAAAAGGGACAUUGCUCAGCUGACUACAGGAAUCCUGCUUUUAUAGGAUGCUGAAGACUGAGUGGGGUUGGAUGGACAAAAGGUUUAAAUGCUAGGACUACUUCUUUCCCUCCUCUGUAGUUCACUGCUUAACUUAUCUACUUUCAGUAAUUCUUAUUUACCAGAAAACAGGGUUUGCAGUCCAUGAAUGUGACCCUAGGCCUUACCUUUCCUUCAUUAGUAGUUUCCCCUUGCCAGGCCCUUUAUUUGCUGGGUAGGAAGAAAAGAAUUAGCCUCAUGCCAUGCUGAGGACCAAAAGAAACAGGUGUUUUCUAAAUAAUAGCAAACUGGGAUAGCCUUAGGGAAAGCUUUCUAGAGCUGAGAUGGCUGAGGGAGGAGGUGGAGAGUUGCUAAAAUGAGAUACCAGCACAGGCAGAGCCUUCUGGGAGGAAGGGUGUGCCCUGGAUCCCUGCAGGAUAUCUCUCUUUAGCAUAGAGGGAGGGGAUUGAGGAUGCUAGAGGAAGUUGCUAAGAAAAUUUAGCUGAAAUGGAAAUCAGAAGAGUUGAGUAUUAUCAUAUGCAAUCUCAUCUUCCUCUUCAUUUACAGGGUUUUGACCCUUGUUAAUAACUGUCAUCUAAUCUAUUUAUGACCUAAAGCACCCCCCCAUCAUGGGGCCACAGGCCCUAAUUUUGGCAACCAGUGUCAGUGCCACUCAGGAACCCAGUGUGUAUAGAUCUGCCUGCAGUCAUCUGCAGCUAAGGCUCUGGAAAGCCCCAGGAGGCUGCUGGGCCUUCUGCUUCUCCUCUGACUGGCCCAGUUUCUGAGAAGCUAAAGCCUAUGCAUUGUCAGCAUUGCUAGGCUUCAUUGCCAGUAUCUUCUCUAUUGCUGGGAAGAAUAGAGAGGCACCAAUGAGGCAAAAGAACAAAAGCAGGUUCUCUUAGACUACCUGACCUCUUACAGUACUAACACCAUGUGCUCUCAUCUUCACCCAGGUAUAGCAUGUUUACAGUGAGUCUCUCAACUCCCAUCCAGAUUGACUGAGCUAAACCCCCCUCCCCAAUCUAGCUCAGAGUUCAGUUCAAGAGAAAGGAGGUCACAGUCAAGCUGUGGAUCAAGCAGCAACAGUGGGCAGAGGGAAAGGAAUAUAGACCUUAGCUCAUCAUAUCCUGUGACUACAGUUUCUUGUGCAGACAUCGGAAUAAUAACCUACUUCACUGGACUCUUGGAACAAUUAAGUAUUGUGACUCUGGGAAUGCUCACAUUAUAUUUGCUCUAUUACCCUACAAUAGCCAGGAGCCAUAAAAAGAGAUAAGCUUGUAUAUGGAGGCCAAAAAGAGUUUCUGAGGAACCUGAAAAAUACAGCUCUACUUUUUGUCUCCUUUUUCUGAGUUGUGACAUCAGAGGAAACACAGCAAAGAGGUAGUCCAAUGUGGAACAUAGCUUGUGAAUCUUAUUUUUAGAUAAAAUUUAAAAACAUAUCUUGUUUUUGUGUUAGAGGGUCAUCUGUAUAAUACAGUGAUAAGAUACCAGCUUUUUAAAGUCAUUAGGGGUUAAAUCAAAUUACUAACCUACUGGGUCAUGGGAUGGAGAGGAAGAAGGAUCGUGCUCUUUUUGAAUAAUUCUUGUGGAAGAGUUGUCCUGGCACAGGUGACUCACUUGGGUUCAGUUGUUAAUAUCUCAUAGGUCACUGUCUUGAACAAGUGACAUAAUAUAUCUGCAGAUACUAUGCAUCUUGGAAAAUUCUAUACAAAUUCAGGAUAUUACAAAUGUACAUAUGUUAGAUGGAUUUGGUUCUUUUAUUUCAUUGUAUAUAAUAAUUUCUAAUGACUAAUGUGAAGUCAUACAGGAAAUAAGCUUUGUAUUGGUCUUGUCUGCUCAAAGUGUUGGCUGUGACUCUGCUGCUGCUGAGCAGCAUUGGAUGGCUGUCAUCUGCUUCUGACAGGCAAAAUGAUUCUCAGGGCUGAGGCUGGUUCUUCUGACUGCACUUCUCUGCUUUCUUCAGUGAGAUCCUCUUCUUCUGGAAGCUGGUUUCACAUGGUGGCUUAGAUUUUUCCAUCUUUGUAUCUAGCACCAUUUGAAAUCAGUGUUUUAGGAGUAAGAAUUGCAGCACAGCAGAGGGUAGACUACAAAGGAACAGCUGUACACAGAACUGGCUCUCUCCUUCGAGAAAUCAAGGGAAGACUUGAAUAGUGAAAUUUGUUCUUGAGUCUGUCUGGUUUAGAGGCAGUGACAGUGAGAAAAUCUUUUGUGUUCAGAAUAACUGUAAGGGUAUAAUCAGAGGCAAAGAGUGAUCCACUUUAUCCAGCAUUCCAUGGGUGGAGGAGGGUGCCUUGGACCUGCACUGUUCAUUGUCCAGUAAUUUUCUGGGUGUUGAUUGUAGCAAGGAAGAGGUAAGGGCUCUGUAUGUGGAGGAUUGCUUCACUCACAUCAGUACUGCCUACCUGUACCUGGAAGAUCUGUGGAGCACUCAGUCCUGGUUGCAGCACAGCUGAAAGCAGACUGUCACCUGCCUUGAGAUUCAGACCUGAAGAACACCACUGGUUCAUCUCUUACACAGGCUGACCGAUUUCUCCUGGUGUUCAGAGUCUGUUUUUGUCUAGCACCAUUUGAAAUCGGUUAUGAUGUAGGGGGAAAAGCACCAGCCUCAGAGCCUUGUGGUGUCUGGUCAGCAUCAGCCUGUCAUUUCCUACACGGGCAGAGCAGAAAAGGAAGAUCACAGUUUCCUAACUUCUUUAAUGCAUAUAUAUAUGUGGCUACAGAAGUUAGGGAUCACUUAGUGGGGUUUUUUUAAUUGUUACAAUUUAUUGUUGUAAAAUAUCCUCAGUUAUAAUUUCUGACAUGUAGUACUGUUAUAACCUAGGUGCUGUUAAACGUUAAGUGUUGACUUUAAUAAAUAAUAUGUUACAUUCAA